GCUUAGCCCUAAACAUCGAUUAUUAGAUCCGCCCGGGAAUUACGAGCAUAAGUUUAAAACCCAAAGGACUUGGCGGUGCUUAACAUCCACCUAGAGGAGCCUGUUCUAGAACCGAUAACCCCCGUUCAACCUCACCCUCCCUUGCCCGCCUAUAUACCACCGUCGUCAGCUUACCCUGUGAAGGUUUUAUAGUAAGCAAAGUUGGCACAGCCUAAAACGUCAGGUCGAGGUGUAGUGCAUGAGAGGGGAAGAAAUGGGCUACAUUCGCUCGAGCAUUGAAAGAAGGAGGAUUUAGCAGUAAGCAGAAAGCAGAGCGUCCCGCUGAAACUGGCCCUAAAGCGCGC
This 344-nucleotide ribosomal RNA is filed under the name Xiphias gladius (swordfish). Its description in RNAcentral is "partial 12S ribosomal RNA". It matches the Rfam family "Bacterial small subunit ribosomal RNA", at positions 794 to 1384 of the family's 1533-position model. Lineage: Eukaryota; Metazoa; Chordata; Actinopteri; Istiophoriformes; Xiphiidae. RNAcentral also lists the same sequence under 2 other names. The record is from RNAcentral.